This is a long non-coding RNA of Anopheles coluzzii, 2556 nucleotides long. RefSeq lists it as uncharacterized. The record is from RefSeq and is a predicted model, not a curated record. The transcript has 2 exons. Lineage: Eukaryota; Metazoa; Arthropoda; Insecta; Diptera; Culicidae.
GAAACGGAGGUGAGGGCAGAGUUCGAAGAAAUUGAGACAUUUAAAAAUUCGACAACAUGCGUGUCUAAUAGCUCCGUCCGACUAUACCGCUAGCGAGGUCCUAAUCAAUGCGGCAACAGGAUUGAUAUAUGUCAACUUACAGAAUCUGGUCAUGCAAGUAAUGGGCAACUUGUGGAGACAGAGGAGAUUGAAAACCUGGGGGAAAAUAUUUGGUUCGUGCUGAUUUAUAAUGCUCCAAUUUUCGAGCACUAUUUCACGCUAAUAGACAGGCCACGACACUGCACAGUCCCACAUUUCUGGCACGUGUGGUUGUGUGUGAUGGAAUGAGAAAAUUAAUAGCUUCCUCACGCCCUGGCACAAGGCAAGCCGGCAGUAUGAGCUAGAACAGCACAUGGCAGUAGUGUCUGUGUUUGUGUGCAGCGGACGGCUUACAAAGCCUGGUGGCUCUGGACACGGAUUGAGGGGAAUAUCUUCACGAACUCGCGAUCAUGCACAACCUCCGCGUACGGUAGCUGACUUUUGGUAGUCGCGAAGCGUUACACCUCUCCUCUGGAAAGGUUGUGUGACAAACCGUUCUCGAUCAUUCGCAGUGUUCAGUGAGCUCUGGUUGUGUCGCACUCAUCAUGAAUCCAUCAAGCUCAAGCGGCACAAAAAGGGAAUUCGUUGUCGUCUUCGUCGUCGUCACGACACAGAGUGAGAAAGGCCGCGCGACGAAGAAGCGAAGGAAAUUGGUCCGAAAAAACCAUGACCUAUGCAGAUGCGUGACCUGGAGAGAGCAUUGCGACGAAACCUCCGAUAUCCCCAUACCCUGGUGAAAAGUGCUUGGUUUCUUUUUCUGGCCUGCACACCGUCGCUCAUCUGUCAGCAGCUUCCCUGUUACAUCGCCUGCCUGACCCUUGGAGUAUUGCCAACACAUCUGGUGCAACGAUCGCAGUUGUAUUGGAAGAGAGGACCCAGGGUCGUCGACGUGUUCUGUUAGGGAUUGGAAGAAGCAAAAAAAAAAAACGCAACAGAAUUGCCAUCCGCCCGUAAAAAGAGUUGCACAGACAAACGAAAGGGAUGGCCAAUAACACACAGAGCACGAUCGCGAAGGUGUUGUACAGGCCCCGGCUUGUUUUUCGCUCGGCUUCGAAAAACCUUCGACUAGAACGUCUUGCCGAAGAACACACGCAAAAGAACCAGAACCAGGCGUGAGCGCGUUCAGUGGAAGGAAGGAAGGGCAGGCGAGCUCACGCGUCGUUUGGUCGAUUCUAUUCGUGGGGUUCUAUACGCGUUUGUGCGCGCGUGCGUGUCUGUGUGUACGUGUCAAUGUUUAUUUUUAGGUUCCUUCGGCUCAGAAGUAGUGCCGAAGUGCGCGGAUCCCCAACGAAGCGUUAGCUGUUGUUGUAUGUUUUUUUGCUGGUGUUUCGCUCAACAACCCGUUUGCCACGGAAGAAACAUGGGACAAUCUCACUCCACCGCCGUGAGGAAGUUAUCGUAGGGUGAGUAGUAGAGCAGGGUGGUUUGUGUGGCAGCAAUCCCACAUCCCACACGGAAGGCGUACGAUCGCUACGAGAUGCAAACCAUAGGACGGCACGCGUGUCCCAGUGUAUGUCGGAGGUGCAAGCCGCGAAGAACCUGAAUCUGCUCAAAAAAGGGACAAUAAAAAAGAGGAAAUAAAACAAAAGCGCACACCCCACGGUACGCGGCUACCGUCAACCGCCAUUCUGCAUCGCAUGAAUGAAGCCGUCGUGUCGAACGGAACGGUGCGACGCCCAAACGUGCAGACUGUUUACGCACAUGUUUCCAUUCCGCUUCUAUUUGCGUGUAAUACGAGUAUUGUUUACACUCAAUUCCGCUCGAUACACACACCACUCGGCCAAUUCGAAACCGGGAAGGAAGUAUGCACAUCAGAACCUCACCAACCGACCGACCGACAUCAGACAUCAAACGGGGUGAAGGAACUGACUCCCAGAGCGCACUGAAGGUUACGUAGGCUGGUUGGUUUUGCACUUGUAUGUUCCUGUGUGUUCCCGUGCGGUUACAAACACAGAAGCCUCGCGUUUUUAGUCACAUCUGUAACGCAUAAGUUAAACGUUUGAGGAAAAAAAAGAGACAGGAGUUAAAUUUCAUCCUUUUGUAAGCGCUCAGCUGCAAAAAUCUAAACGAUACCUCAGAAAGAAGCUAGCAAAAGCAUUUAACGUAUGAUUUAUGAGUCACCAUAAAUAUUGAAGUUAACUGGGCGGAGUUCUUUCCUCGUCUUGGUUGCUUUUUUCUACUCUCUACGUCGUGUCGUGCCGAAUAAAUUGAUUCCGCUUUCCCACACAUUUCUUUUUGAUCAGAAAUUUGAAUAUAAAAGCAGGCGGAACCUCCAGUCCAACAAACACCCCAUCCCCUUCAUGCUAAAAGUAAUGAGAUUUCAACGAUCUAAUCGAACGAAGCUCCCGUGACCCUGUGCCAAACGCUUAGCCUUGCGCACGACAAAUCGUAAGUUCGAUUCUCAACCGAUCUUAACGUAGAAAAGAGUGGCCUUUAUUACGCUAAAUGAAAGUAAAUAAAACUGGAAAUAUUGUUACU